CCACGCGACCGCCGACCGUAGCAAUCACCCGCCGAUACUACCUUCUCUUCCCCUGCACCAGCCACCGCUUUUGGUUUCCGUGUAGUCGUCUAAUGGCGAAGCGGCUCGCCGGCGCCGAGAAAGAGGUACUCGUUGAGGUCGUAAGGUUCACUCAGAAGGACGGGUUGAAAGGCUCUGAGGGGGGAUGGAAGGAUUUCUUGUCUCGGAACGACAGGAAGUUUGGUGCUUCGGUAAGCGACCCCAGGAAGCGAACCAGGGAUGUGCUACUUGCCUUCCUGCUAACCUUCUCCUGAGAUUUCCAAAAGUACUUUGGCAAAUUGGUGAAGCGUCAUAAGGAAAGAAGUGCUAUACAGCAGCAUAUGAAGGAUUUUCCUGAGGAGGUUUCUCCCG
Long non-coding RNA from Phragmites australis (common reed), 390 nucleotides. RefSeq lists it as uncharacterized. NCBI's taxonomy places the organism in Eukaryota, Viridiplantae, Streptophyta, Magnoliopsida, Poales, Poaceae. The transcript has 3 exons. The record is from RefSeq and is a predicted model, not a curated record.